Molecule: long non-coding RNA, 1448 nt
Organism: Lepus europaeus (European hare)
Lineage: Eukaryota; Metazoa; Chordata; Mammalia; Lagomorpha; Leporidae
Exons: 3
Source: RefSeq, a predicted model, not a curated record
GCCGCGUGGCUGCCUCAGUUGUGCCUCGCGCCAGGCAGCUGUCGGCGCCCCGUUUCCGGCGGAGUUCGGCACCCAUGAGCGCUGGGGUUCUCUGGCGGUCCGUGCCCGGCUGGGAGCCCGGGCCAAAGCCCGCGCCCGCUGCGGCGGGGUCGCUCACGGCGCCGCACGCUCCGGAAAGCCGCCGUGACGGGGCGCUGCGAAGCCCUGAGGCCGCGCGUGAGGACUGUGGCGCGGAGCGCGGCCUCGGUGCUCUCCGUGGGGCCGGUGACGCCGAGGCCGCGCCUGUCGCCACCGCUGCCCCUGCACCCUCCUCCCUCCCUCCGUCCGUUGCGGGCGCCCCCAUCCCCGUCCCGGGCUCGGGGAGACCCCACGGCCUGCUGUGGCCGGCGGUGAAGCCGCGUCUCACAUGGGCGUGGGAUCCAGUCCCGCUGCCCACCCCGACCCAGCUCUGCUGGUGGCCUGGGGAGGCAGCGAAGGUGGCCCAGGUGCUUGGGCCCGGAAGCUCCCAGCUGCCGGCCAGCCCAUCCGGGGAGCGAACUAGCGGGUGGAGGCCUCUGUCUCUCUAUCUCUGUUACUCUUUAAGAUAAAAAGAAAGAAAAUUUUUUGAAGAAGAACGGUGCUGUGGCUCCCUGCUUUAAAUGUGAUCACAACAGGCUGCCACCACAACGGCUGAGCCGAAGAUACGUGAGGUGCGGAGUAAGUGCCGGUCUGCGCCAGGGACCACCACCAUCAAGGCCGUGAGCAUCUCUCCCACUGUGAGGGGAGAUGGCGACGCUGGGCGGCGAGCUAGGAGUAGCGUGUGUGCUCACAGGGGCCCGAGGCAAAGGCAGGGCACGAGCAGCCCAGGCCCCAGGAACUGCCGGUGCUUCCAGCCUCCCCCAGGAGAACCCUGUCUGAAAACCUUGUGUCAGGAGUGCAGGAAACUUGACCUGCCUCGCUAAGCGUAAUGAGCUACAGAGCCUGACCCGCUCCCAGAUAGGACAAGCCGCGGCUGCACCACCCCCAGGGAGCACUGCCCGCGGCCGGCAGAGGCUACGGUGAAGCCACGGGCAACAGCCUCAGAGGGACUCCAGGCAGACUCCUGAGCGGCAGAGCGCGGACUCUUCCUCGGGCCCCUUCUGUGUUGGCCAGUUGCACUCAGACCCUCCCAGAGUGAGCCCCCUGGCCAGCCGACAUUGAGACUCCUACGAGACCUGCUUUCUCUGGCUCAGCGGCAUCGCGGCGCAGACUCUCAGAGCCAACUCCCUUCGGGUUGUGGUCGCCAGAGGAAUCCGCUCUCUGCAGGGUUUUUCUCCUGAGUGGGGUCUCUGAUGCCUGCGGAGGUCGGCCUCUGGUGAAAGGACUUUCCACAUUGCCUGCACUCACAGACGUGUCUCCAGUAGCUUGAUGCACCCCUGCUCUGCAGUGUGAAGACUCUCACGCACUCUGAGAGGUGGAGAGAGAGAGAG